UUUAUUUUUCUAAGGUGACCUCGGA
This 25-nucleotide ribosomal RNA is filed under the name Aspergillus fumigatus. Its description in RNAcentral is "partial 28S ribosomal RNA". Lineage: Eukaryota; Fungi; Ascomycota; Eurotiomycetes; Eurotiales; Aspergillaceae. The record is from RNAcentral.